RNAcentral lists this ribosomal RNA (480 nucleotides) under uncultured bacterium. RNAcentral describes it as "partial 16S ribosomal RNA". It matches the Rfam family "Bacterial small subunit ribosomal RNA", at positions 899 to 1397 of the family's 1533-position model. The record is from RNAcentral.
ACUCAAAGGAAUAGACGGGAGCCCGCACAAGCGGUGGAGCAUGUGGUUUAAUUCGAUGCAACACGAAAAACCUUACCAGGAUUUGACAUAAAGAGAAAUUUUUUGAAAAAAAAAUGUGCUAUGGCCUCUUAUACAGGUGGUGCAUGGCUGUCGUCAGCUCGUGUCGUGAGAUGUUGGUUUAAGUACCGCAACGAGCGCAACCCUUAUUAUUAGUUAAAUAUUCUAAUAAAACUGCCGAUUAUAAAUCGGAGGAAGGUAAGGAUGACGUCAAGUCAUCAUGCCCCUUAUAUCCUGGGCUACACACGUGCUACAAUGAAUAUGACAAAAAGUUGCAAAUUUGUAAAAAUAAGCCAAUCUUAAAACAUAUUCUUAGUUCAGAUUGUAGACUGCAACUCGUCUACAUAAAGAUGGAAUCGCUAGUAAUCGCAGGUCAGCUAUACUGCGGUGAAUACGUAUCCGGGCUUUGCACACACCGCCCGU